Molecule: long non-coding RNA, 280 nt
Filed under: Hordeum vulgare
Lineage: Eukaryota; Viridiplantae; Streptophyta; Magnoliopsida; Poales; Poaceae
Description: long non-coding RNA (HVUL_LNC009082)
Source: RNAcentral
AGAAGUAUAUACAUCAACUCGUCAUCAAGCGAAUUUCUGGCACCGUUGCUGGGGACUCCAGUCUUCAAGAUAGGGCUUUUUUCCUUUCUUCUUGAGAGGAGGAGCUAAAGUGUGGCUUCAAUCUUUGCCUAGGAAUAGCAUAGAUUCUUGGGAUAAGUGCAAAGAUGCUUUUAUCGGGAAGUAUUACCCGCGUGCUAAGAUUAUCCAGUUGAGUAGUAACAUUAUGAAUUUUAGGCAAUUGGAUAAUGAUCAUGUUGCUCAAGCUUGGGAACGUAUGAAA